The sequence is a ribosomal RNA, 501 nucleotides long. It matches the Rfam family "Bacterial large subunit ribosomal RNA", at positions 1811 to 2604 of the family's 2925-position model.
AAACAUUGCCUUUAGAAAAUUUAUUAAAGGUUCAUCCUGCCCAGUGAAACAUUUUUCAACGGCCGCGGUACCCUAACCGUGCAAAGGUAGCAUAAUCAUUUGCCUUUUAAUUGUAGGCUAGUAUGAAUGGACAAACGAAAUUUCACCUGUAUCAAUUUUAUAAAAUAAAAAUUAGACUUCAUGUGAAGAUACAUGAAUCCUAUUGAAAGACAAGAAGACCCUAUAGAGUUUUAGUAGAUAUUUUCCCCAAUAAUUAACCCUACUUUGGUUGGGGCGACCUAGGAUUAACUAAAACAUCCUCAUAUUAACAGAGUGAUAACUCUCCCUAAUGAUCCUGAUAAUCAGAUUCUUAAAACAAACUACCUUAGGGAUAACAGGCUUAUCUUCCUAAAGAGUCCAAAUUGACAGGAAGGUCUGGCACCUCGAUGUUGGCUUAGAGUAACCUAUUAAUGCAAAAGUUAAUUUAGGUCGGUUUGUUCAACCGUUAAAUCUCUACAUGAU